GGAAGUCUGCUGAGCCCGAGCUUUGGAGCCUCCAAUAUCUAAACCCUAAAUCUGAACCCGGGAUUCGUCCCUUUCCGUGGUGUGCAAGCCUGCCACAGCAGCAGGAAGCCUGAAGCGGAUAUCGCGAAGCCCACCUUUCGAGGAAUGGGUUUAGAUUUGGUUCCAGGCACGACUCGAGCGGUGCUCAC
RNAcentral lists this non-coding RNA (188 nucleotides) under Deltaproteobacteria bacterium. RNAcentral's name for it is "6S RNA". It matches the Rfam family "6S / SsrS RNA". From Rfam's summary of the family: E. coli 6S RNA was the first non coding RNA to be sequenced, but its function was unknown until recently. Lineage: Bacteria; Pseudomonadati; Myxococcota; Myxococcia. RNAcentral also lists the same sequence under 1 other name. The record is from RNAcentral.